GACGAACGCUGGCGGCGUGCCUAAUACAUGCGAGUUGAGCGCUGAAGGUUGGUACUUGUACCGACUGGAUGAGCAGCGAACGGGUGAGUAACGCGUGGGGAAUCUGCCUUUGAGCGGGGGACAACAUUUGGAAACGAAUGCUAAUACCGCAUAAAAACUUUAAACACAAGUUUUAAGUUUGAAAGAUGCAAUUGCAUCACUCAAAGAUGAUCCCGCGUUGUAUUAGCUAGUUGGUGAGGUAAAGGCUCACCAAGGCGAUGAUACAUAGCCGACCUGAGAGGGUGAUCGGCCACAUUGGGACUGAGACACGGCCCAAACUCCUACGGGAGGCAGCAGUAGGGAAUCUUCGGCAAUGGACGAAAGUCUGACCGAGCAACGCCGCGUGAGUGAAGAAGGGUGUCGGAUCGUAAAACUCUGUUGGUAGAGAAGAACGUUGGUGAGAGUGGAAAGCUCAUCAAGUGACGGUAACUACCCAGAAAGGGACGGCUAACUACGUG
This 497-nucleotide ribosomal RNA is filed under the name uncultured bacterium. RNAcentral's name for it is "partial 16S ribosomal RNA". It matches the Rfam family "Bacterial small subunit ribosomal RNA", at positions 28 to 507 of the family's 1533-position model. The record is from RNAcentral.